Molecule: ribosomal RNA, 289 nt
Filed under: Silpha carinata
Lineage: Eukaryota; Metazoa; Arthropoda; Insecta; Coleoptera; Silphidae
Description: partial 16S ribosomal RNA
Source: RNAcentral
CCUGGUAUGAAAGGUUUGACGAGGAAAAAGCUGUUUCUAUUUUAAUUUUAUAGAAUUUUAUUUUUAAGUCAAAAAGCUUAAAUUAAUUUAAAAGACGAGAAGACCCUAUAGAGUUUUAUAAAAUAAAUGAUUUAAAAUUAUUUGAAUUAUAUAUUAUAAAUUAUUUAUUUUAUUUUAUUGGGGUGAUCGAAAAAUUUAAAAAACUUUUUUUUUAUAAUAACAUUUAUUUAUGAAUUAUUGAUCCAUAUUAAUGAUUAUAAGAUUAAAUUACCUUAGGGAUAACAGCGAA